Molecule: ribosomal RNA, 504 nt
Filed under: uncultured bacterium
Lineage: Bacteria
Description: bacterial SSU rRNA
Rfam family: Bacterial small subunit ribosomal RNA
Source: RNAcentral
GAUGAACGCUGGCGGCGUGCUUAACACAUGCAAGUCGAACGAAGCACUUUUGUCAGAUCCCUUCGGGGUGAAGACGCUAGUGACUUAGUGGCGGACGGGGGAGUAACACGUGAGCAACCUGCCGAGGAGUGGGGGAUAACGUCUGGAAACGGACGCUAAUACCGCAUACGAAACGGGGAAGGCAUCUUUCUGGUUUGAAAGGAGAAAUCCGCUCUUUGAUGGGCUCGCGCCCGAUUAGGUAGUUGGUAGGGUAAUGGCCUACCAAGCCAACGAUCGGUAGCCGGACUGAGAGGUUGAACGGCCACAUUGGGACUGAGACACGGCCCAGACUCCUACGGGAGGCAGCAGUGGGGGAUAUUGCACAAUGGGGGAAACCCUGAUGCAGCGACGCCGCGUGGGUGAAGACGGUUUUCGGAUUGUAAAGCCCUGUCUUCGGGGACGAACAAAUGACGGUACCCGAGGAGGAAGCCACGGCUAACUACGUGCCAGCCGCCGCCGUAAUAC